UGCCUUGUGGUGUAAUGGCAACAUUUCUGAAUUUGGAUCAGAAGUUCUAGGUUCGAGUCCUAGCGAGGCAGCCA
RNAcentral lists this transfer RNA (74 nucleotides) under Nostoc piscinale CENA21. RNAcentral describes it as "tRNA-Gln". It matches the Rfam family "tRNA". Rfam says of the family: Transfer RNA (tRNA) molecules are approximately 80 nucleotides in length. Lineage: Bacteria; Bacillati; Cyanobacteriota; Cyanophyceae; Nostocales; Nostocaceae. RNAcentral also lists the same sequence under 3 other names. The record is from RNAcentral.